AGUUCUGCCCUACGUACCUAGGAGGAGGAGGAGGUGGAGGAGGCGCCUGGCCCCUUGGGACCUGCUUCUUCUUUCAGUUCGCGUUUUCUCUGUCGUGUACAGCUUUGGAGGGACACCUUUGGGUUCCAGACUUUGAUGAACACAACUUUGUAUACUCUUUUCUUAGGAACAUUUUUUUUCCUUUGGCACAACCGUAGACGCUCUCCGUAGUCCUCCACUCAAAGCCUCCGCUUCCUUUUUGACGUUCUGGGGAUUUCUGGGAACAUACGCCCACCCAUCUUCCUGUUCCUUCAUCACUUUUCCCUUAAAAUCAGAGAGAAUAUUAAUACAUUUGUAAUCAUUGUUCUUAAGGUGUUGCAGACGUCACGUCUUAAGGUGUUCCAGACUUCACGACUCCUUUUUUAUUAGUAAAAUAUUUCUGAAAUUAUGAUAAGGUGAAUAACAUGUAAAUCUCCUUGUUUUGAAUUUUUUUUUUAGGGAUCCUGCAACAAGGUCCUGUUGAAAGUGCCUCUCUCUAAUAUGUUUUAGGGAAAGCUUGUACCCUGUUUUAGGGCCUGUAGACUUUGCCUUUACCUAGGCAACUGUUUAUGGGAUUAAGGUCAGGGAAGAUUCCAACUAAAUUGCAUCCUACUUAGUUAUCACUUCUGUCCCCUGGCCCAGGAGCCUUGGGUUCCACUCUAGAACUUGGACAAAUCCCAAAAGCAUUUUCCAAAAGCACGGUGACAUACUUACCUUUUUCUUUCUUUCUUUUUUUCUCUAAAUCAUUUCUUUCGGGGUUGCAACUCAGUCGCAGGAAUUCAUCUUUUAUUGUAAGCACCACAUAGAUGUAUAGAGCACGUUUCCGUGGAGUAUUUUAAGUUGGGGGCCUUUUCUCCAACAUUUGGAAUCGUUUAAUGGGUGGAAUAACUUGCAAACUACUGGUUGUCUCUGAAACUGGUUAUGGAUAUUCAUUACAUUAGUUGUCUAUUUUCCCAGGUGGUCUCGAAGCUUCAAUCUAGAGCAAAGGGAAUAGAGUGAUUCCACCAGUCCAUUAGCACAUGAUUAGCCCAU
This 1050-nucleotide long non-coding RNA is filed under the name Homo sapiens (human). RNAcentral's name for it is "non-protein coding lnc-ANKDD1A-1:1". The record is from RNAcentral. Lineage: Eukaryota; Metazoa; Chordata; Mammalia; Primates; Hominidae.